GUGAGCGGUGUUAGUCCUUGAUAUCUAUUAGAAUUGUAUUUUUGCAGAAUUCUAUUCUAUUUUUUUUUCUUAUCUAUUUUUGCAUAUGUGAGAUGGUUAACGAACAUCUUAUUUCAGAUUUUAUUUACACCGGCCUCUGGCAUCAGGAUAACAGAUAUGUAAGAAUAUGAAUAAUCAUUAUCAUCAGGUCAUGUGUUUUCUGUAUCGGUGUUUUUUAUUUUAUUUUAAUUUUUAUUAUGCUUAUGGAGUGACCAACAUUUGCACAUUUUAGGUGUUUUAAUAACACUUCAGUUCAUGGAGCUUCUCUAAUAAAGAGAUGAUAAAGUGAAAUAAGUUUCCAUCAGGAUGGCAAAAAGUUUUCGCAGCAAGCGGAGGAGAAAGAUGAGGGCAGAGAAAAGAAAGAAAUCCGGUCUGGAUGAACCAAAGGCAUAUAAAGAAGGUGAAAGCCAAACGUAUGGCUACAAAAGGAAAACCUAAGAUAAAGAAGGGACUGGCCUGGUAGAUGAACUGAUCUGCUUGUGCACGGACAUUACGCCUGACAGCUCUACAGGAGCUUAGCUGUGCAUCGUUUACAUGUGCAUUUUGUACAUUUCUACAGACUGUUUAUGCAAAAAUGUAAAUCACCCGCAUUGUACUACACAACUGACUCUUCCAGUGAAAUACACAUAUUUCCUCUACUUCAAUCUCUCACUCUGUAGGUCUGCUUUACUAUGAAGUAAAAAUCCAAUAUACCUUU
This is a long non-coding RNA of Carassius gibelio (silver crucian carp), 736 nucleotides long. RefSeq lists it as uncharacterized. The transcript has 2 exons. Lineage: Eukaryota; Metazoa; Chordata; Actinopteri; Cypriniformes; Cyprinidae. The record is from RefSeq and is a predicted model, not a curated record.